UACGUAGGGUGCGAGCGUUAAUCGGAAUUACUGGGCGUAAAGCGUGCGCAGGCGGUCCGCAAAGUCUGAUGUGAAAGCCCCGGGCUCAACCUGGGAACUGCAUUGGAAACUAACGGGCUCGAGUGUGGCAGAGGGGGGUGGAAUUCCACGUGUAGCAGUGAAAUGCGUAGAUAUCUGGAGGAAUACCGGUGGCGAAGGCGGCAUCCUGGACCGACAUUGACGCUGAGGAGCGAAAGCUAGGGGAGCGAACAGG
Molecule: ribosomal RNA, 253 nt
Filed under: uncultured bacterium
Lineage: Bacteria
Description: partial 16S ribosomal RNA
Rfam family: Bacterial small subunit ribosomal RNA
Source: RNAcentral